AUGCUGAAUGGGCUACAAAUGUUUGUUCUCCUGUAGCUGAACUCAUGGUUUUAUGUGGAAACGUUUUGUUCUGUAGCUGGUUUGGCAAGUAAGCUCGGGGGGCAGCCUACCCCACUGAAAUCCUCUGCUUCCUUUUUCCUCGCAGCCACAAUAACUUUGUAGCCAUCCUGGAUCUGCCGGAAGGAGAGCAUCAGUACAAGUUCUUUGUGGAUGGUCAGUGGACCCACGACCCUUCCGAGCCCAUAGUAACCAGCCAGCUUGGCACAGUUAACAACAUCAUUCAAGUGAAGAAAACUGACUUUGAAGUAUUUGAUGCUUUAAUGGUGGAUUCCCAAAAGUGCUCCGAUGUGUCUGAGCUGUCCAGUUCUCCCCCAGGACCCUACCAUCAGGAGCCCUACGUCUGCAAACCCGAAGAGCGCUUUCGCGCGCCCCCCAUUCUCCCCCCACAUCUCCUCCAGGUCAUCCUGAACAAGGACACGGGGAUUUCCUGUGAUCCAGCUUUGCUUCCUGAGCCCAAUCACGUCAUGCUGAACCACCUAUAUGCGCUGUCUAUCAAG
This 557-nucleotide small RNA is filed under the name Pongo abelii (Sumatran orangutan). RNAcentral's name for it is "retained intron". The record is from RNAcentral. Lineage: Eukaryota; Metazoa; Chordata; Mammalia; Primates; Hominidae.